RNAcentral lists this small nucleolar RNA (130 nucleotides) under Mus musculus (house mouse). RNAcentral's name for it is "Small nucleolar RNA SNORA48". It matches the Rfam family "Small nucleolar RNA SNORA48". Rfam says of the family: The snoRNA ACA 48 has been identified to guide pseudouridylation of the residue U3797 in the 28S rRNA subunit. Its host gene EIF4A1 (eukaryotic translation initiation factor 4A1) is shared with U67 and snoRNA mgU6-77 The record is from Rfam by way of RNAcentral. Lineage: Eukaryota; Metazoa; Chordata; Mammalia; Rodentia; Muridae.
CCCCUCUGCCAAUGGGCAAGGAGACACCUUGUUGGUUGUGCUGUUCUUAUACCAGUCAGGGGCAGAACAAAUGGCAGUCCUUUAUUCAUCCUAACUUGAUGUCUGGCUGUUUUAUACUUAGGUCACAUAG